CAAAAGAGUGGGAAGAGCUUUAAGUAGAGGUGAUAAACCUACCGAGCACAGUUAUAGCUGGUUACCUGAGAAAUGGAUAGAAGUUCAGCCCUUACAGAUAUUUCCCCCACCGCCUUAAAAUUAUAAUGAUAAAGGAAAAUUAAGGAGUUAGACAGAAGGGGUACAGCUCUUCUGAGUAAAGAAACAACUUUAGUAGGUGAACCAAAAUCAUAUUAAUCAAGGACUAAAAUUUAAGUGGGCCUAAAAGCAGCCACCUUUUAAGAAAGCGUUAAAGCUCCAACUACCAAUCCACCCUCUUAUACUGAUAUAUAACUUUUUCCCCCUACUACCUAUCAGGUUAUCUUAUGCCGCCAUAAGAACAAUUAUGCUAAAAUGAGUAAUAAGAAGAAACUUCUUCUCCCAGCAUCCGUGUAAGUCAGACCGGACCACCCACCGAUUAUUAUACGACCCCAAACUCAGAGGGCCAUAAGCCAAAAAACAAGAAAACCACUUAACUAAUAUCGUUAACCCCACACAGGAAUGCAUCAAGGAAAGACUAAAAGGAAAGAAAGGAACUCGGCAAACCCAAGCCUCGCCUGUUUACCAAAAACAUCGCCUCUUGAACAACAUAAUAUAAGAGGUCUCGCCUGCCCAGUGACUAAAUGUUAAACGGCCGUGGUAUCUUAACCAUGCGAAGGUAGCGUAAUCAUUUGUCUUUUAAAUGAAGACCUGUAUGAAUGGCAAAACGAGGGCUUAACUGUCUCCCUUCCCCAGUCAAUGAAAUUGAUCUCCCCGUGCAGAAGCGGGGAUCAAAUUAUAAGACGAGAAGACCCUGUGGAGCUUUAGACUUAAAAUAACCCUGUAAAAUAAACUUUAACACAAGCAUAAACUUAAGGAGUCUUAUUUAAAUGUCUUUGGUUGGGGUGACCACGGGGUAAAACAUAACCCCCAUGAAGAUUGGGAACAUACUCCUGGCACUAAGAGACACCCCUCUAAGUAACAAAAUUUUUGACUUUAAAAAUGAUCCGGCACAGCCGAUUAACGAACCCAGUUACCCCAGGGAUAACAGCGCAAUCCCUUCCCAGAGCCCUUAUCGACGAAGGGGUUU
RNAcentral lists this ribosomal RNA (1087 nucleotides) under Coelorinchus geronimo. RNAcentral's name for it is "partial 16S ribosomal RNA". It matches the Rfam family "Bacterial large subunit ribosomal RNA", at positions 792 to 2519 of the family's 2925-position model. RNAcentral also lists the same sequence under 1 other name. Lineage: Eukaryota; Metazoa; Chordata; Actinopteri; Gadiformes; Macrouridae. The record is from RNAcentral.